This 164-nucleotide ribosomal RNA is filed under the name uncultured bacterium. RNAcentral's name for it is "partial 16S ribosomal RNA". It matches the Rfam family "Bacterial small subunit ribosomal RNA", at positions 355 to 511 of the family's 1533-position model. The record is from RNAcentral.
UAGGGAAUCUUCGGCAAUGGACGAAAGUCUGACCGAGCAACGCCGCGUGAGUGAUGAAGGGUUUCGGCUCGUAAAACACUGUUGUAAGAGAAGAAUGACAUUGAGAGUAACUGUUCAAUGUGUGACGGUAUCUUACCAGAAAGGAACGGCUAAAUACGUGCCCG